GGCGUCGCGGCCCCGCCUCCUCCCCGGCGCUCUGGGCCCUUAGCGCUCCGCGGGAAGGAGGCUGGAACCCCGGCAGCAGUGGGGCGGGGAUGGAGGCGGCCGUGGCGCCGGGGAGGGAUGCGCCGGCACCCGCGGCGAGUCAGCCCAGCGGCUGCGGGAAACACAACUCGCCGGAGAGGAAAGUUUAUAUGGACUAUAAUGCAACGACUCCCCUGGAGCCAGAAGUUAUCCAGGCCAUGACCGAGGCCAUGUGGGAAGCCUGGGGAAAUCCCAGCAGCCCGUAUUCAGCAGGAAGAAAGGCCAAGGAUAUUAUAAAUGCAGCUCGGGAAAGCCUCGCGAAGAUGAUAGGGGGGAAACCUCAAGAUAUAAUCUUCACUUCCGGGGGCACUGAGGUAAAGCUUCUGAACACACUCACAUUCUGUUAACUGUAAGUUAUAAUAAAAUACACAGAAAGUGAU
Molecule: small RNA, 458 nt
Filed under: Pan troglodytes (chimpanzee)
Lineage: Eukaryota; Metazoa; Chordata; Mammalia; Primates; Hominidae
Description: retained intron
Source: RNAcentral